UAGUGAGUUUGAUCCUGGCUCAGAUUGAACGCUGGCGGCAUGCUUUACACAUGCAAGUCGAACGGCAGCGCGGGGCAACCUGGCGGCGAGUGGCGAACGGGUGAGUAAUAUAUCGGAACGUACCCAAGGAGUGGGGAUAACGUAGCGAAAGUUACGCUAAUACCGCAUACGAUCUAUGGAUGAAAGUGGGGGAUCGCAAGACCUCAUGCUCCUGGAGCGGCCGAUAUCUGAUUAGCUAGUUGGUGAGGUAAAGGCUCACCAAGGCCACGAUCAGUAGCUGGUCUGAGAGGACGACCAGCCACACUGGAACUGAGACACGGGUCCAGACUCCUACGGGAGGCAGCAGUGGGGGAAUUUGGACAAUGGGCGCAAGCCCUGAUCCAGCAAUGCCGCGUGAGUGAAG
RNAcentral lists this ribosomal RNA (403 nucleotides) under uncultured Oxalobacteraceae bacterium. RNAcentral describes it as "bacterial SSU rRNA". It matches the Rfam family "Bacterial small subunit ribosomal RNA", at positions 1 to 410 of the family's 1533-position model. The record is from RNAcentral. Lineage: Bacteria; Pseudomonadati; Pseudomonadota; Betaproteobacteria; Burkholderiales; Oxalobacteraceae.